GAAGCCCCCCUCAAGAUGAGAUUUCCCAUAGCGUCAAGCUAGUAAGAUCCCUGAAAGAUGAUCAGGUUGAUAGGUCAGAGGUGGAAGCGUGGCGACAUGUGGAGCUGACUGAUACUAAUCGAUCGAGGACUUAACCAU
Molecule: ribosomal RNA, 138 nt
Filed under: Bacillus sp. ISL-18
Lineage: Bacteria; Bacillati; Bacillota; Bacilli; Caryophanales; Bacillaceae
Description: partial 23S ribosomal RNA
Rfam family: Bacterial large subunit ribosomal RNA
Source: RNAcentral